GACGAACGUUGGCGGCGUGCUUAACACAUGCAAGUCGAACGGAAAGGCCCUGCUUUUGUGGGGUGCUCGAGUGGCGAACGGGUGAGUAACACGUGAGUAACCUGCCCUUGACUUUGGGAUAACUUCAGGAAACUGGGGCUAAUACCGGAUAGGAGCUCCUGCUGCAUGGUGGGGGUUGGAAAGUUUCGGCGGUUGGGGAUGGACUCGCGGCUUAUCAGCUUGUUGGUGGGGUAGUGGCUUACCAAGGCUUUGACGGGUAGCCGGCCUGAGAGGGUGACCGGCCACAUUGGGACUGAGAUACGGCCCAGACUCCUACGGGAGGCAGCAGUGGGGAAUAUUGCACAAUGGGCGGAAGCCUGAUGCAGCAACGCCGCGUGCGGAAUGACGGCCCUCGGGUUGUAAACCGCUUUCGCCUGUGACGAAGCGUGAGUGACGGUAAUGGGUAAAGAAGCACCGGCUAACUACGUGCCAGCAGCCGCGGUGAUACGUAGGGUGCGAGCGUUGUCCGGAUUUAUUGGGCGUAAAGGGCUCGUAGGUGGUUGAUCGCGUCGGAAGUGUAAUCUUGGGGCUUAACCCUGAGCGUGCUUUCGAUACGGGUUGACUUGAGGAAGGUAGGGGAGAAUGGAAUUCCUGGUGGAGCGGUGGAAUGCGCAGAUAUCAGGAGGAACACCAGUGGCGAAGGCGGUUCUCUGGGCCUUUCCUGACGCUGAGGAGCGAAAGCGUGGGGAGCGAACAGGCUUAGAUACCCUGGUAGUCCACGCUGUAAACGGUGGGUACUAGGUGUGGGGUCCAUUCCACGGGUUCCGUGCCGUAGCUAACGCUUUAAGUACCCCGCCUGGGGAGUACGGCCGCAAGGCUAAAACUCAAAGGAAUUGACGGGGCCCCGCACAAGCGGCGGAGCAUGCGGAUUAAUUCGAUGCAACGCGUAGAACCUUACCUGGGUUUGACAUGGAUCGGGAGUGCUCAGAGAUGGGUGUGCCUCUUUUGGGGUCGGUUCACAGGUGGUGCAUGGCUGUCGUCAGCUCGUGUCGUGAGAUGUUGGGUUAAGUCCCGCAACGAGCGCAACCCUUGUUCACUGUUGCCAGCACGUUAUGGUGGGGACUCAGUGGAGACCGCCGGGGUCAACUCGGAGGAAGGUGGGGAUGGCGUCAAGUCAUCAUGCCCCUUAUGUCCAGGGCUUCACGCAUGCUACAAUGGCUGGUACAGAGAGUGGCGAGCCUGUGAGGGUGAGCGAAUCUCGGAAAGCCGGUCUCAGUUCGGAUUGGGGUCUGCAACUCGACCUCAUGAAGUCGGAGUCGCUAGUAAUCGCAGAUCAGCAACGCUGCGGUGAAUACGUUCCCGGG
RNAcentral lists this ribosomal RNA (1343 nucleotides) under uncultured bacterium. RNAcentral's name for it is "16S ribosomal RNA". It matches the Rfam family "Bacterial small subunit ribosomal RNA", at positions 28 to 1378 of the family's 1533-position model. The record is from RNAcentral.